AUACGGAGGAUGCAAGCGUUAUCCGGAUUUAUUGGGUUUAAAGGGUCCGUAGGCGGGCAUAUAAGUCAGGGGUGAAAUCCGACAGCUUAACUGUCGAACUGCCUUUGAAACUGUAUGUCUUGAGUGAGAUUGAAGCAGCUGGAAUGUGUAGUGUAGCGGUGAAAUGCAUAGAUAUUACACAGAACACCGAUAGCGUAGGCAGGUUGCUAAGUCUUUACUGACGCUGAUGGACGAAAGCGUGGGGAGCAAACAGGAUUAGAUACCCUGGUAGUCCACGCCGUAAACGUUGGAUACUGUCUAUUGGAAUUUUCAGUGGAUAAGCGAAAGUGAUAAGUAUCCCACCUGGGGAGUACGUUCGCAAGAAUGAAACUCAAAGGAAUUGACGGGG
RNAcentral lists this ribosomal RNA (388 nucleotides) under uncultured bacterium. RNAcentral describes it as "partial 16S ribosomal RNA". It matches the Rfam family "Bacterial small subunit ribosomal RNA", at positions 523 to 918 of the family's 1533-position model. The record is from RNAcentral.